CCUACGGGCGGCAGCAGUGAGGAAUAUUGGUCAAUGGCCGGAAGGCUGAACCAGCCAAGCCGCGUGAGGGAGGAAGGCGCAGAGCGUCGCAGACCUCUUUUGCCGGGGGACAAAAGGCCGGACUCGUCCGGUCCUGAGGGUACCCGGAGAAAAAGCAUCGGCUAACUCCGUGCCAGCAGCCGCGGUAAUACGGAGGAUGCGAGCGUUAUCCGGAUUUAUUGGGUUUAAAGGGUGCGUAGGCGGAUUGAUAAGUUAGAGGUGAAAUGUCCGAGCUUAACUCGGGAACUGCCUCUAAUACUGUUGAUCUAGAGAGUAGAUGCGGUAGGCGGAAUGUAUGGUGUAGCGGUGAAAUGCUUAGAUAUCACGAAGAACUCCGAUUGCGAAGGCAGCUUACUAAACUGCCACUGACAUUGAUGCUCGAAAGUGUGGGUAUCAAACAGGAUUAGAUACCCUUGUAGUC
RNAcentral lists this ribosomal RNA (460 nucleotides) under uncultured bacterium. RNAcentral's name for it is "partial 16S ribosomal RNA". It matches the Rfam family "Bacterial small subunit ribosomal RNA", at positions 338 to 795 of the family's 1533-position model. The record is from RNAcentral.